AAAAAAAAAAAAAAAAAAAUUGGCAGACCCAAUAUACUUUGCAGAAUUAACCUUUAAACCAAUAAUCAGACAAGACAAAACACGGAGUGGACUACAAGAAUAGCUUUUAUUAGAAAAAUGGAUCAACAAAGAUACAAUUUGUCUUUCCCCUCUCAAUUUACGUCACCCAAACCUAGAGGCCCCCAUUUUAAACAAAAUCAAAUCCAAUCCUUUACAAAUCAAACAGAAGCCCAUGAAAUCCCACAUCGACCAGAUUCCCCCUAGGUCAAUUCACAUAGGUAUAUAAACAUACUUGAAAACAAAGAACGAUUACAGGGAUUGAUAGCUAAAGACUUACUGAAGAGUGGGAACAAUGCCAGA
RNAcentral lists this unclassified non-coding RNA (360 nucleotides) under Hevea brasiliensis (rubber tree). Lineage: Eukaryota; Viridiplantae; Streptophyta; Magnoliopsida; Malpighiales; Euphorbiaceae. The record is from RNAcentral.